GACGAACGCUGGCGGCGUGCUUAACACAUGCAAGUCGAACGGAAAGGCCCUGCUUUUGUGGGGUGCUCGAGUGGCGAACGGGUGAGUAACACGUGAGUAACCUGCCCUUGACUUUGGGAUAACUUCAGGAAACUGGGGCUAAUACCGGAUAGGAGCUCCUGCUGCAUGGUGGGGGUUGGAAAGUUUCGGCGGUUGGGGUUGGACUCGCGGCUUAUCAGCUUGUUGGUGGGGUAGUGGCUUACCAAGGCUUUGACGGGUAGCCGGCCUGAGAGGGUGACCGGCCACAUUGGGACUGAGAUACGGCCCAGACUCCUACGGGAGGCAGCAGUGGGGAAUAUUGCACAAUGGGCGGAAGCCUGAUGCAGCAACGCCGCGUGCGAGAUGACGGCCUUCGGGUUGUAAACCGCUUUCGCCUGUGACGAAGCGUGAGUGACGGUAAUGGGUAAAGAAGCACCGGCUAACUACGUG
Molecule: ribosomal RNA, 468 nt
Filed under: uncultured bacterium
Lineage: Bacteria
Description: partial 16S ribosomal RNA
Rfam family: Bacterial small subunit ribosomal RNA
Source: RNAcentral